Molecule: long non-coding RNA, 579 nt
Filed under: Brassica napus (rape)
Lineage: Eukaryota; Viridiplantae; Streptophyta; Magnoliopsida; Brassicales; Brassicaceae
Description: long non-coding RNA (BNAP_LNC002868)
Source: RNAcentral
UUACAAGUUUUAUGAAGUUCUUGUAAAAGGAGUACUUCAUACACCGUAUAAACAUUAUAUCCAACAAUUGCCCAUAGUCUUAUCACUUUUUUCACAUCUUUGUUUGAGUUUAAACUUUUGCUAUUGUUCGAUAUAUAAGGAUUAAGAAGCAGAGAAUGCCUAGAACUAUUAGAGAAGAUGAACGGUGUACACUUUGUUAUACUAUUUUAUUUGAGAAACAUAGAAUAGAAAUGGUUUUCUUAAUGUUUCAAGAGCAUAUAAAUUUGAUAGUGUUUGUUUAGCAGAUGGUGCUUCAGUAUGAAGCUUUUUGUGUCUUUCUUUCUUCUUUUUUUUUUGUUCUCUUCUCCUCAUUUUCUAUUUUCCUUUUUACUUUCCCCAUUCUCUUCCUCCUCCUCCGUCACAAUCAGUUAUUACAAAAGAUCUCACAUGUAGCAUCGUCAUGUUCAGUUGCUUCAUCACCACCAUUAUCUUCUCCUCCUCUACCAUCGCCACUGUAGUCUCAUCACCUUUUUCCACCACAUCUUCUUUUCCUCUGCCACCUUUCGUGGUGGUUUCUUUUCCUCCAUCAACCCUGGCGAC